AUUGAACGCUGGUGGCAGGCCUAACACAUGCAAGUCGAACGGUAACAGGAAGAAGCUUGCUUCUUUGCUGACGAGAGGCGGACGGGUGAGUAAUGUCUGGGAAACUGCCUGAUGGAGGGGGAUAACUACUGGAAACGGUAGCUAAUACCGCAUAACGUCGCAAGACCAAAGAGGGGGACCUUCGGGCCUCUUGCCAUCGGAUGUGCCCAGAUGGGAUUAGCUAGUAGGUGGGGUAACGGCUCACCUAGGCGACGAUCCCUAGCUGGUCUGAGAGGAUGACCAGCCACACUGGAACUGAGACACGGUCCAGACUCCUACGGGAGGCAGCAGUGGGGAAUAUUGCACAAUGGGCGCAAGCCUGAUGCAGCCAUGCCGCGUGUAUGAAGAAGGCCUUCGGGUUGUAAAGUACUUUCAGCGGGGAGGAAGGGAGUAAAGUUAAUACCUUUGCUCAUUGACGUUACCCGCAGAAGAAGCACCGGCUAACUCCGUG
Molecule: ribosomal RNA, 490 nt
Filed under: uncultured bacterium
Lineage: Bacteria
Description: partial 16S ribosomal RNA
Rfam family: Bacterial small subunit ribosomal RNA
Source: RNAcentral